Hipposideros armiger (great roundleaf bat) is the source of this 3630-nucleotide long non-coding RNA. RefSeq lists it as uncharacterized. The record is from RefSeq and is a predicted model, not a curated record. NCBI's taxonomy places the organism in Eukaryota, Metazoa, Chordata, Mammalia, Chiroptera, Hipposideridae. The transcript is spliced from 3 exons.
ACCCAGUGUCUGCAAGCAGACACCCAGCGUCACCAGGACAGAAAACUUCCGCAGCCGCCACCCUGGCCCCCCUAGCCUCCAAACCCACGCCAUUGUACGAGUCUGUGUGUAUAAAAUGACUUUUAAGCAGAGACCUGAAAGAGGUGAUGCUCGGCUUGGAACACUUGGCCUCCAUAAGAGAAGUAUGAAGGCCUCAGGCAGAAAGAAGUGUGUGGUUAGAGAAGCAAAGAAGCCUGUGGGGCUGGAACUGAGUAAGCCAUGGAGACAGUAACAGGAGAUGAGGAAAAGUUUGCCAAUUCCCUGCUCGAUAUCACACUGAUGUAUAAAGGCAGAAAUAACAGUUGAAGGAACUUGUAUUUCCAACCUGCAAUUGAGGACACAUCCUGGAAAUGGAAAAGCACAGACGCAAAACUGGUUAAUGUUGCAUGUGUUAUAGCUUUUACCUGCAGCCCUUGGCGUUCAUUCUUUCCAGGCAAUAGAAAGGAGAGCGAUCACUUUUCCAAGAAAGGAAAGGGAUACUAAUCCAUUUAAUCAGCUAGAAUCAGAUACUAUUCAUGUCUUCUGCUCUUAGAUGGUUCUUUUCCAUGGGGAGUUAGUAAAAGAGAAAAGGGUGCUUAGCGUCAGAUAAUACCCAAUGGUGGUUUAGUCAGCCUGCGCACAGUUGGGCUACAACUUUCAGAACAAAUUUUCAGAGCAGACACCUUGCCUGCCUUUUCCACUCCUGUAUCCCUAGAACCUCCAUAGUGUGAGCACUCGAAGAUUCGUUGAAUGAACACAUAAUAAUAAACUCUGUGCACACACUUAUAAAGAAAGUUGGCUACGGUGUCUCACGUUUUCUUCAAGCCAUGGUGUUGAACAAAAUGAACCAUUUUGACCUUGGCCUCUCAUUGCUUUGGAGAAACUGCAGCAGCAACACUUGACACCUCUGCUUAACCUCAGGAUUAGAGCAUUCCAAAACAGAGUGGCCCCUCAUCCCCUCUCUGAGCUUAGGUCAAAGGGCAAGGACUGGGUGCAGGCCCCACAGGAAGAUUCAUUUCUGAUUCCAGCUUACUGGGUUGGCCAAGAUCAGAUAGGCCUCAGGCCAGUGGGAGCAGAGUCCUGUUUACAAGCUUGCUCAACCUCCUUAUCUCCUCUUCCUGCAGUCAAAGCUCUCCGCCUCAUCCUCCAAGUGUUUUUCAAGGACUGCUGACUAUGUGACAAGAAAAGACCAACCCGAACAAAAUAAAACCCAAAUAGGAAUGCUUAUAUUUGCACAAAUGAAGCUAUUUUAUCUUCAUUCGCUAAAUUCUGGAAGAAGUCCAUAGAUCCCUAGCUUUUUUUUUUUCCUCAUUGCAAAUAUUAACUAAAUUAUCUGCACAUUAAUUCUGAAGAAUGUUGUUGUUGUCCACCCAAAAAAAGAGUUUCCAUAACUCAGUUUCUCUUGUCCUGCUCUUUUCAACUUGGAAGUUUUAAUGAGGAUCUGCCAUGUGCUUCAUGUGGGAAAGUGGGAAAUAGCAGAGGUGAAUAAGGUGAGCUCAGUGUUAACAAAAGUUGGUAUCGUUGUACAUGACUACAACACCCCAAGGAAAUGUGAAGCUUAUAUACCUACACUACACAUUACAGACAGAAAAAAAAAAAUGUAAGAAAUCUUGGCUCCCCUGGACAGUAGUUACUUUUUAUGACUACAACAAAAAUUCCAACAAGAGCAUUUUGGAGUCUUUAUGCUAUCGUGUAUGAUCUUUUAAAGAAUGUUGUCUAAGUAGUUUCAAGAGAUAAACAUCCAGAACACUGCUGGUUCUCCAAAAUAUUAAAUACAAAUGCACUACCAGCUAAGAAUGAAAAUUUACUGUAAAAAAGUAAGGAAACAGAGGAAUAAGUCAGAUCUCCAGGUUGUCUCCAAAUUCAGAUGAUAAAUAUUAAACUUUACUGUGUAUAUCAUGAGCUUUGCCAUCAGAAAACCUCAGUUGGGAUACUCUGCAAUUUACUGAUCAUCAACCUUGAGCAAUUCUCAGAAUUCUCUGAGCCUAUUUCUUUAGGACUAUCUCAAAGGACUUCUACAAGAAUCAAGGAAGGUAAUAUAUAUAUAAAUGCCUUAGAAAUACUAAUUUCCCACCAAUCCCUUCAGAGGGACUGCAUCUUAUUCCUUAGUAAAUCCCCAAUAUCUAGGACAGUGCCUGGUACAUAAAAGACACUGUCGAGGCUGCUCACUCGUGGGCUGUGAAAGGAUGCACAUGACAGGUAGAAAUACAGAAGGAAGAUUUAUUAGACUAAGAGGAGGGUCAGCUGGGCAGUCUGCUGGAGACUACUGCCUCGAAUCUUUGUUUCCUCUGAAGUUGGCAGGAGGAGAGGGAGGCAAAGAAAAGAAAGAAAACUUUCAAAAAGUCCCAAGCUAAAUUACACUUGUUAAAUCAAAUUAUACCAGAGGUCCAAAUCUCAAAAUAGAAGAUUUAGUGCCACCUUUACAAUCCCAUCUUAUCAUACCUUACCGUAUAUUCUUUUGAGGUACUUUUCUAUGGAGAGAUACAACUAUAAAUAAAUGCAUUUUUACCAAAAUGAGAUUAUAUAUACAUGUUGCCUUAUAAUCUUCUUCAAUUUAAUGAUCUCUACCUACUCAUUUCAAUAACUCUUCAUCUCAUUUAACACCCAUAUAAAUAUUUCACCAAUCUCAAAAAGGCCUUGACUGCUGGUUUAUCAAAACCAGGAUUUAAUCUAGAACCAUACACCUGGGCGUUAUGUCCUCUAAGUCUCUUAAUCUUGAUGAAGUGAUAACACGUGCAGAUCUCUACUUGCACAAUAAAGUUAUAGGGGCUCCUCCUUCAGUCCUUGAGACUUGGCUUCUAGAGUACACAAUGAUGUUUCCACUUUGAACUUUGUUUUCCACUUCCACUUUGAAUGACUGUAUGUCAGGAAUGUCAUAGAAGGUUAUUUCUACCAAGCCUGGCAGAAUCUCAGACUUUACCCUAAACCAAAUAUUAGUUGCAUAGAACAUAGAGGUCAGGUAGCGAAAUAUGAACAUUUCAAAUAGAAUGUAGAAGGAAGAACAUGGAAUAACUGACUUCUACCUGAUCCUGCAGGAAGAUGUAAUUCAUGUCCCCAGAGGAAACAGGGUACCAGAGAGGCUACAGGAUUUCUGUCACUCAGGGAUUUUUCAGGAAUUAGUGCUAAUAAUUAGCUUCAAGAACCCAAAAGAAAGACACCAGAAAUUCAAAAGAUGGUAAAGCUCAUUAACUUUUAUGUUUUCCUAUAGGAGCUCUUCAAAAGCAAUUUGCCAGGUUUUAAAUUCGUUUUACGAGAGCUCAGGUUUAGAUAUUAUUCAAAUCAAAUCCUUGGUUUCUAAGAAAGUUUUCACAAUUGAAUGAGGAAGCAGUAAGACAAAGCAGUAUCAUGAAAAUCCUUCACAGUCCAUUGUAGCCUACACUAUGUUUUCACUAAUGCCUGAAAAUAUCCUGAGAAUAGAAAGAUGACUUUGGAAUAAUUAAAACAGGACAGAACAGAUGACAAAAAGAGAAAGGCAAGCUACAGAACAAUAUGAAUACUAUGAUUUUUUUGUGAUAAAAUGGAAUGGUUUGUUUAUACUUGAAAAUAUUCUGAACACAUGGCAGACAAUUGUCAUUUUUGAGAUGUAAAACUGGCUGAAGAACAAGAGAUCCA